This 497-nucleotide ribosomal RNA is filed under the name uncultured bacterium. RNAcentral describes it as "partial 16S ribosomal RNA". It matches the Rfam family "Bacterial small subunit ribosomal RNA", at positions 28 to 507 of the family's 1533-position model. The record is from RNAcentral.
GAUGAACGCUGGCGGCGUGCCUAAUACAUGCAAGUCGAGCGAACAGACGAGGAGCUUGCUCCUCUGACGUUAGCGGCGGACGGGUGAGUAACACGUGGAUAACCUACCUAUAAGACUGGGAUAACUUCGGGAAACCGGAGCUAAUACCGGAUAAUAUAUUGAACCGCAUGGUUCAAUAGUGAAAGACGGUUUUGCUGUCACUUAUAGAUGGAUCCGCGCCGCAUUAGCUAGUUGGUAAGGUAACGGCUUACCAAGGCAACGAUGCGUAGCCGACCUGAGAGCGUGCUCGUCCACACUGGAACUGAGACACGGUCCAGACUCCUACGGGAGGCAGCAGUAGGGAAUCGUCCCCAAUGGGCGAAAGCUUGACGGAGCAACGCCGCGUGAGUGAUGAAGGUCUUCGGAUCGUAAAACUCUGUUAUUAGUGAAGAACAAAUGUGUAAGUAACUAUGCACGUCUUGACGGUACCUAAUCAGAAAGCCACGGCUAACUACGUG